CAGGGGAAGAAAAGUACUUGGUGAUCUCAGCGAAAGAUGUCUUUAACUGCUAAGCUGCUUUUUCCAACUGGCAGAAGCCCUUGAGAAGAGUUUAUUAAGAAUGAAGGAAAAAAAUAAUCCCUGUGUAGUUUACACAACUGUUCCUAAAAUUCAUCCCCCACCCAUGCAUUAAGCAGUACCAUGUGCCGAGAGCCGUUCUCAGCCUGGGGGUACAGCCCUAAACAAGUGCCCACCGUCCCGGCCCUUUGGAAGCUGCAUUCCACGGGGACAUCUGCAGACCACAGGGAAUGAUGUACGCCUUGAACCGAACCAGUCAGAAGAAAAAGGAGGUGGUUGACUUUGAGUUGAGUUAUUUUCCAACCUCAAGCCUUCAACAUCACUUACCCUGUCUCAUAAGGGAAACCUGGCUGUCCUCAAAACCAGCAUUCAAGAUUUAAAAUAAAUGUUAAAAACAAAA
This 457-nucleotide long non-coding RNA is filed under the name Homo sapiens (human). Its description in RNAcentral is "novel transcript". The record is from RNAcentral. Lineage: Eukaryota; Metazoa; Chordata; Mammalia; Primates; Hominidae.